Molecule: ribosomal RNA, 253 nt
Filed under: uncultured bacterium
Lineage: Bacteria
Description: partial 16S ribosomal RNA
Rfam family: Bacterial small subunit ribosomal RNA
Source: RNAcentral
UACGUAGGGGGCAAGCGUUGUCCGGAUUCAUUGGGCGUAAAGAGCGUGUAGGCGGCCAGAUAGGUCAGCUGUGAAAACUCGAGGCUCAACCUCGAGAUGUCGGCUGAAACCAUCUGGCUAGAGUCCGGAAGAGGAGAAUGGAAUUCCCGGUGUAGCGGUGAAAUGCGCAGAUAUCGGGAAGAACACCCGUGGCGAAGGCGGUUCUCUGGGACGGUACUGACGCUGAGACGCGAAAGCGUGGGGAGCGAACAGG